RNAcentral lists this ribosomal RNA (546 nucleotides) under uncultured bacterium. RNAcentral's name for it is "bacterial SSU rRNA". It matches the Rfam family "Bacterial small subunit ribosomal RNA", at positions 355 to 895 of the family's 1533-position model. The record is from RNAcentral.
UGAGGAAUAUUGGACAAUGGGAGCAAUCCUGAUCCAGCCAUGCCGCGUGCAGGAAGACAGUCCUAUGGAUUGUAAACUGCUUUUAUACAGGAAGAAAAAAUCUGACUUGUCAGAUAUUGACGGUACUGUAUGAAUAAGAAUCGGCUAACUCCGUGCCAGCAGCCGCGGUAAUACGGAGGAUUCGAGCGUUAUCCGGAAUCAUUGGGUUUAAAGGGUUCGUAGGCGGGACAAUAAGUCAGUGGUGAAGGUUUGUGGCUCAACCAUAAAAUUGCCAUUGAUACUGUUGUUCUUGAGUUAUUGUGAAGUGGUUAGAAUGUGUAGUGUAGCGGUGAAAUGCAUAGAUAUUACACAGAACACCAAUUGCGAAGGCAUAUCACUAACAAUAUACUGACGCUGAUGAACGAAAGCGUAGGUAGCCAACAGGAUUAGAUACCCUGGUAGUCUACGCUGUAAACUAUGGUUACUAGCUGUUCGGAGCACAUUAGUGCACUGAGUGGUUAAGCGAAAGUGAUAAGUAACCCACCUGGGGAGUACGUUUGCAAGAAU